GGCCAUGUGGCCCAAUGGCAAGGCGCUUGACUACGAUUCGAAAUCAAGAGAUUCCAGGUUCGACCCCUGGCAUGGUCA
This is a non-coding RNA of Massariosphaeria phaeospora, 78 nucleotides long. The record is from the annotation of a GenBank genome assembly. Lineage: Eukaryota; Fungi; Ascomycota; Dothideomycetes; Pleosporales.